GUUCUAAUGCUUCUACCUGUUACUGCUGUUGGGCAUGCAGCUAUGUUGGCAGCUAUUCAGCGAUAUGUGCCAGCUUUGAUCCCUUCCACUUAUGGACCAGAAAGGUUGGAGCUCUUGCGGCAGCUUGAGAAAGUGAAGGAAAUGGAAGUCAGUGAAGCUGAUGCCAACGAGAAUGAAAAGGAAUUAUCCUAGUUAGAUGCAGCCCAGAUUAUAUACUGCCCUGACAAUAUAACAGAACUUGCAAGGCAAGCGACCAAGAAAUUGUUCAUUCUUCUUUUUUGGCCAGGUAAUAUCACUUGGUUUUGAAUCCCAUUGACCGUAAAUGAGCAUAUAGAAUUUCAUUCCAUACAUCUGGUACUCCGGGCAAGCACCAGUGGCUGCAGUCUUGUGGAGCAGGAACUGGAGGGCCCGGCUCNGCUCGCGGUGGACUGAAGGGUGUCCAUCAAACCUGAACUGUGUCAGAUAUGUGAUGUUUAAAUACUGAACUUUGCUAUUUCUGUAUUCCAAUUCCAUUUGUUUGAUCAUAUCGGAAAUCAAUUGAUUAUUCACAGGC
Molecule: unclassified non-coding RNA, 553 nt
Filed under: Hevea brasiliensis (rubber tree)
Lineage: Eukaryota; Viridiplantae; Streptophyta; Magnoliopsida; Malpighiales; Euphorbiaceae
Source: RNAcentral